This 282-nucleotide long non-coding RNA is filed under the name Homo sapiens (human). RNAcentral describes it as "HSALNT0067639". The record is from RNAcentral. Lineage: Eukaryota; Metazoa; Chordata; Mammalia; Primates; Hominidae.
CAAAGAACUGGAGAAAAUAUUUGCAAACUACCUAUAUGACAAGGGUUUAAUAAACAGAAUAUAUGAAGAGCUCAAACAAGUCUAUAGGAAAAAAUCUAAUAAUGUGAAAAAUGGGCCAAAAGGGCCGAGUGUAGUCACUCACACCUAUAAUCCCAGCACUUUGGGAGGCCUAGGCUGGAGGAAUGCUUGAGCUCGGAGUUCAAGGCCCGCCUGGGCAACAAUAGUGAGAUCUUGUCUCUCUCUCUCUCUAUGUGUAUAACAUAUACAUACAUACAUACACAC